GGCUACAGAACGAACGCUGGCGGCAUGCCUAACACAUGCAAGUCGAACGAGACCUUCGGGUCUAGUGGCGCACGGGUGCGUAACGCGUGGGAAUCUGCCCUUGGGUUCGGAAUAACUUCGGGAAACUGAAGCUAAUACCGGAUGAUGACGUAAGUCCAAAGAUUUAUCGCCCAAGGAUGAGCCCGCGUAGGAUUAGCUAGUUGGUGAGGUAAAGGCUCACCAAGGCGACGAUCCUUAGCUGGUCUGAGAGGAUGAUCAGCCACACUGGGACUGAGACACGGCCCAGACUCCUACGGGAGGCAGCAGUGGGGAAUAUUGGACAAUGGGCGAAAGCCUGAUCCAGCAAUGCCGCGUGAGUGAUGAAGGCCUUAGGGUUGUAAAGCUCUUUUACCCGGGAUGAUAAUGACAGUACCGGGAGAAUAAGCUCCGGCUAACUCCGUG
RNAcentral lists this ribosomal RNA (441 nucleotides) under uncultured bacterium. Its description in RNAcentral is "bacterial SSU rRNA". It matches the Rfam family "Bacterial small subunit ribosomal RNA", at positions 26 to 507 of the family's 1533-position model. The record is from RNAcentral.